GUAGACCUGGCGUGUAGUUCAUGAUGAAGCUGUUCCUUUCUUUGACUCUUAUCUGGUCUUUCUCCAGCACAGCUGGAGCACUUGUGUGUCAGACUUGCACAGAUGACGAUUGUACAAGCACAGUGCCGCUAACAUGUGCCACGGAGACGAUGUGUAUAACUGCUGCCAUUAAAGCGGUUUCAUCUGGAACUCCUGGAACCCAAAUCUUCAAAGCAUGUGCAUCGUCCUCCCUGUGUCCAGUCACAAGCUCCCAGACAUUUUCUGUUAACUUGGGUGUUUCAAGUGCACUUGCAUCUGCUACGUGCUGCGAC
This is a long non-coding RNA of Solea solea (common sole), 311 nucleotides long. RefSeq lists it as uncharacterized. The transcript has 3 exons. The record is from RefSeq and is a predicted model, not a curated record. NCBI's taxonomy places the organism in Eukaryota, Metazoa, Chordata, Actinopteri, Pleuronectiformes, Soleidae.